GAUGAACGCUGGCGGCGUGCCUAAUACAUGCAAGUCGAGCGAACGGACGAGAAGCUUGCUUCUCUGAUGUUAGCGGCGGACGGGUGAGUAACACGUGGAUAACCUACCUAUAAGACUGGGAUAACUUCGGGAAACCGUAGCUAAUACCGGAUAAUAUUUUGAACCGCAUGGUUCAAAAGUGAAAGACGGUCUUGCUGUCACUUAUAGAUGGAUCCGCGCUGCAUUAGCUAGUUGGUAAGGUAACGGCUUACCAAGGCAACGAUGCAUAGCCGACCUGAGAGGGUGAUCGGCCACACUGGAACUGAGACACGGUCCAGACUCCUACGGGAGGCAGCAGUAGGGAAUCUUCCGCAAUGGGCGAAAGCCUGACGGAGCAACGCCGCGUGAGUGAUGAAGGUCUUCGGAUCGUAAAACGCUGUUAUUAGGGAAGAACAUAUGUGUAAGUAACUGUGCACAUCUUGACGGUACCUAAUCAGAAAGCCACGGCUAACUACGUG
This 497-nucleotide ribosomal RNA is filed under the name uncultured bacterium. RNAcentral's name for it is "partial 16S ribosomal RNA". It matches the Rfam family "Bacterial small subunit ribosomal RNA", at positions 28 to 507 of the family's 1533-position model. The record is from RNAcentral.